AGUGAACGCUGGCGGUAGGCCUAACACAUGCAAGUCGAACGGCAGCACAGUAAGAGCUUGCUCUUACGGGUGGCGAGUGGCGGACGGGUGAGGAAUACAUCGGAAUCUACUUUUUCGUGGGGGAUAACGUAGGGGAACUUACGCUAAUACCGCAUACGACCUACGGGUGAAAGCAGGGGAUCUUCGGACCUUGCGCGAUUGAAUGAGCCGAGGUCGGAUUAGCUAGUUGGCGGGGUAAAGGCCCACCAAGGCGACGAUCCGUAGCUGGUCUGAGAGGAUGAUCAGCCACACUGGAACUGAGACACGGUCCAGACUCCUACGGGAGGCAGCAGUGGGGAAUAUUGGACAAUGGGCGCAAGCCUGAUCCAGCCAUCCCGCGUGGGUGAAGAAGGCCUUCGGGUUGUAAAGCCCUUUUGUUGGGAAAGAAAAGCAGCAGGUUAAUACCCCGCUGUUCUGACGGUACCCAAAGAAUAAGCACCGGCUAACUUCGUG
RNAcentral lists this ribosomal RNA (492 nucleotides) under uncultured bacterium. RNAcentral describes it as "partial 16S ribosomal RNA". It matches the Rfam family "Bacterial small subunit ribosomal RNA", at positions 29 to 507 of the family's 1533-position model. The record is from RNAcentral.